RNAcentral lists this ribosomal RNA (371 nucleotides) under uncultured bacterium. RNAcentral's name for it is "bacterial SSU rRNA". It matches the Rfam family "Bacterial small subunit ribosomal RNA", at positions 527 to 896 of the family's 1533-position model. The record is from RNAcentral.
AGAGGGUGCAAACGUUGUUCGGAAUUACUGGGCAUAAAGCGCAUGUAGGCGGCCUCGUAAGUGUCGGAUGAAAUCCCACGGCCUACCCGUGGAACUGUUCGGCAUACUGCGAGGCUAGAGGAUGGUAGAGGAGAGCGGAACUCUUGGUGGAGCGGUGAAAUGCGUAGAUAUCAAGAGGAACACCGGUGGCGAAGGCGGCUCUCUGGUCCAUUACUGACGCUGAGGUGCGAAAGCUAGGGGAGCAAACGGGAUUAGAUACCCCGGUAGUCCUAGCUGUAAACGAUGGGCACUAACUAGAAGUCUCUCCUGUGAGGUUUCUGGUGAAGCAAAUGUGAUAAGUGCCCCGCCUGGGAAGUACGGUCGCAAGGCUA